GUUGGUUGAAAAUCACCCAUGGUUCUGGCCAUGGCUGCUGGUGAAAUUUGGCGCCCAGAGCCACGAGGGGCCUCAGGUCACUGCCCACUGCCUGGUGUGUGUGGGAGAAACCCAGGCCCCAACAGAC
Molecule: small nucleolar RNA, 127 nt
Organism: Choloepus didactylus (southern two-toed sloth)
Lineage: Eukaryota; Metazoa; Chordata; Mammalia; Pilosa; Megalonychidae
Product: small nucleolar RNA ACA64
Exons: 1
Source: RefSeq, a predicted model, not a curated record